RNAcentral lists this ribosomal RNA (429 nucleotides) under Bacteroidota bacterium. Its description in RNAcentral is "Bacteroidetes bacterium partial 16S ribosomal RNA". It matches the Rfam family "Bacterial small subunit ribosomal RNA", at positions 355 to 776 of the family's 1533-position model. The record is from RNAcentral. Lineage: Bacteria; Pseudomonadati; Bacteroidota.
UAGGGAAUCUUCGGCAAUGGGGGGAACCCUGACCGAGCAACGCCGCGUGAGUGAAGAAGGUUUUCGGAUCGUAAAGCUCUGUUGUUAAGGAAGAACGAGUGUGAGAAUGGAAAGUUCAUACUGUGACGGUACUUAACCAGAAAGGGACGGCUAACUACGUGCCAGCAGCCGCGGUAAUACGAAGGUCCCGAGCGUUGUCCGGAUUUAUUGGGCGUAAAGCGAGCGCAGGCGGUUAGAUAAGUCUGAAGUUAAAGGCAGUGGCUCAACCAUUGUAGGCUUUGGAAACUGUUUAACUUGAGUGCAGAAGGGGAGAGUGGAAUUCCAUGUGUAACGGUGAAAUGCGUAGAUAUAUGGAGGAACACCGGUGGCGAAAGCGGCUCUCUGGUCUGUAACUGACGCUGAGGCUCGAAAGCGUGGGGAGCGAACAGG